AAUCAAUGGUGUGGGCAUUGCAAUAGAAGUUAUUUAAAGCGAUCCCAUGCUUCAUGAAAAGAUUCAGCAUUCUCUCGAUAAAAAUUAGAAAUUUCAACUCUUAAUUC
This 107-nucleotide small nucleolar RNA is filed under the name Ricinus communis (castor bean). Its description in RNAcentral is "Plant small nucleolar RNA R71". It matches the Rfam family "Plant small nucleolar RNA R71". Rfam says of the family: R71 is a member of the C/D box family of snoRNAs containing the C (UGAUGA) and D (CUGA) box motifs. Multiple nearly identical copies of this snoRNA have been identified in Arabidopsis, and it is thought to function as a 2'-O-ribose methylation guide for 18S ribosomal RNA. The record is from Rfam by way of RNAcentral. Lineage: Eukaryota; Viridiplantae; Streptophyta; Magnoliopsida; Malpighiales; Euphorbiaceae.